CUUUGUUAUUCUAUUCCUAUCUGAGGGUACUAAGCUAACAAGUUACAUCAGCUUAGCUUCUGGAAUUCAUAAAACAUUUUAGGGAAUUGGCCGUCUUGUGCCCUUUCCUUCUCUAAACCUUUUUUUUUUUGACAGACUAUACACGCCACCCUGUGGCAAAUAGCGCUAUUGCAACAUCUAUAGGAAGAGGUAGCUUAAUAAUGCUCUAUACUAGGGGUAGGCAACCUUUGGCACUUCAGAUGUUGUGGACUACAUGUCCCUGAAUGCUCUUACAGCCAUAAUACUAGCAAAGUAUCAGAGGA
This is a non-coding RNA of Pelobates cultripes (western spadefoot toad), 302 nucleotides long. The record is from the annotation of a GenBank genome assembly. Lineage: Eukaryota; Metazoa; Chordata; Amphibia; Anura; Pelobatidae.